GGCUCAGUAGCACAAUGGUUAGUGCGUUCGGCUGUUAACCGAGAGGUUAUAGGUUCAAGUCCUAUCUGGGCCGCCA
This 76-nucleotide transfer RNA is filed under the name Myoviridae sp. ctCo31. Its description in RNAcentral is "tRNA-Asn". It matches the Rfam family "tRNA". From Rfam's summary of the family: Transfer RNA (tRNA) molecules are approximately 80 nucleotides in length. Their secondary structure includes four short double-helical elements and three loops (D, anti-codon, and T loops). The record is from RNAcentral. Lineage: Duplodnaviria; Heunggongvirae; Uroviricota; Caudoviricetes.